UUAAAGACAAAAGAAGCCCUAACCCUAGCCACUUCCAAAUCAGUCGCACCCUCUCUUUCUUCUCUCCUCUCUCACCCUUCCUCUCUCUAAACGUCACCGCCCCCGCCGGUGUACAGUUGUUGCCGCCGCUCCACCACUCUCUCUUCCCUCUCUCUACUUAUUUCUCUCCACCAGCAGCCAUGGUUGCCAUUGUCGGAAUAACCUCCGCCCUUUUCUUUCCCUUGCCUCAAUUGCUACCGGUGACACCAGCGCCACGCCGGCCUUCUUUUUCUCAAAUACCGCUUCACCCCCUUUUCGGCAAAACCAUGCCGGGGAAAUUCCUCCGCGGCCAUUGCUAGGCUCGCUGGUCAGCGAUCAGCCAUGUCGCCACUCCGUUCUCCGCAUCUCCACCGCUCCGACCAGCAAGAAAGCUGGCCCGUCGCCGCUGUGCAAUAGCCAAACCACCAUAGCAUCGCCUCCCUCAUGCUCCAGCAACACUACCCUCUCCUCUCACCCAUUACGUCCUAGUCGGAGUUGAUGACCAACAAGGUUUUGAUGAACAACAAGGCUCUGAUGAAUUUAUCUGUUAUUAUUGUCUGGUUUGAUUUUCUUUAAUAUAUUAAGUUGCAUGUUUAUUUGCUUUGUUAGCCAAAUCCGGUUUCUAGAUAAAUUUUUUUGUGAUUUUUGAUUUUAAACUUUGAUUUAAUUUCUUUAUUUACGUGUUCAUGAUCAUAUAUGUGGAAUCCGUAGAUUUGUCCUUAAACCGCUAUUAGGUUGUUGAUUAUUUCAAGUUUUCGAUAUUGUUGUUCCCUAAUUUGGUUAACAUCGAUGAAAUGUGACUCAUAUAACUAGGUGCCUAUGGGAAAAUGUGUGAUUGUGUAUUUUGCUCUUAAAUGAUAGUUAGUUUAUGGGACUAAUUUCGUACGUAAUUUUAGUGAUUUAUAUUUGAUUUUUUUUGUGCAUAAUUAAAUUGUUGUGGUUAAGGCAUAUUUGUAUAGUUAAUUCUUUUAUUUUUAUUUAGUUAUUAUUGCUCAUACCCAUAUGAUGUCUAUUACCUUUUAAUAUAUUUUAGUUUCUUUUUACUUGCUUAUUUAUAGAAUAUCCAAUAUACCAUUUCAAUCUAUUCUAUGUUUGACAUAUUCCACCUUUGUUAUUUAUGGCAAACUUUUAAUCCACUCUUAAUCUAAGUGAUUUAAUGUGCAUUAUUUGAAAAUAAUAAAUUGUGUAAUUGAUAAUUUCUUUCUCCCUGUUGAUUCUGAUUGACUGUUAGAAUAAUUUAUUUUUCUUUCAUUUAGAAAUUUUUUAUAUUUAUUUUCCUUCCAUGUGCAUUGACUGAUUUUUAUAUAUGGGUGAUUUUUUUAUUUUUUUUUAAUGAAAAAUUUAUACUGACAAAUAUUUAUCUUCCUUUUACUUUCUAUGAUUCUUUUACUAUAUAAACUUACCCUCAUUUCAUUAAAAAAACAGCUCUUCAAUUACGAUAAUUCUCUAAAAUAAAAUUACUAGUUACUGUAAGACGAAGAAAAAGAUAUUCUCAAGCUAUUAGGUUUCUCUGAUUCCGACAGGGCAUUCAACUUGCUUUACUAUUUCAAUUAUACUGCUUUUCGUUCUUUAUUUUUUUUCGUCAUUUACUGGUAAGUUCUCAAAAUGAUGUAAUUUUUAUUCUUUGUGUGUGUUGACUGCAUCACGUUGUGAAAGCCUUUAGAAAGCAUGUCUAUAGGAAUAUUUCUAUGUUCGUUAUUAUAUGCUUCUGUUUGCUUGCCAUUACAUCUUAUCUAGCAGGUUUAAAUAAACAAUUAUGGAGUUUCGAAGAGUCGCCGGGGUGUUUACAUUAGAUUGUAGUAGUUCUAUUUAGUUUUAGUUUCUUAUUAUUUGGUUUGUAAUAUUAUUGUAUAAAUAUUACUAUUAUUGUAGUAAUAAUAAUAAUGGGGACUGCUCGGAGUGCGGGGACUUACGUGCUCUGUGAAUAGUAUUGGUAGGCACAACUUAGAAUUUCAUGUGUAUUCCGUGCUAUAUGAAUCACCUAAUAUUCGAAACAUUUGGACACUUAAGCCAUAACUUAUUCAUUGCAUAUUUGGCACUAAAUUCUUGCACCUUCCCGCAUGAUAAUAUGUUACACAUUAUGUUUAAGCAAUUUUUGCAUGAUAAACACACGUUAGAUACUCGAUUAAACAUGUGAUCACAUAUUUUAGCAUGUUAACACAAAUAUUAUUAAAGCACGGUAGCAUUAAAUUUACUGCACAUUAACAUAUGUUUCAGCAUGUUAAACUUUAGCAUUUUAACAUUAGAAUUAUGCAUUGUUAGUACGUUAAACAUUAAAUUUGAGCAUGUCGUAUCUUCUAGUAUGUCUAAUAUUAAAAUAAGCAUGUCAAUGUAUUUUUCAACAUGUUAAUAAAUUUUCGGCAUCUUAAACAAUUUGUUUAAGAAUUUUAGCACAUUCACAUUAAAUUUCUGUUUGUCCUCACAUGUUAGCUCACUCUCCAUAUUAAAAAAAUAAAAUUUCAGCAUAAUAAGUCAAUUUUUAGCAUGUUAGAUUUAAUUUCCGGCGUAUUAGAAUUAAAUCUCAGCAUGGUAAUAUAAAUUUCUUGCACUAUUUUCAGAUAUUAACAUAAGGUUCCUGCACACUAGCAUAUUUUCAGCAUGCCAAUAAUAGUCAAAUUUCUGCAUUAUUAAAAUUGCAUUUCUGUAUUAUUUAAACUAUGUUUCUGCAUUAUUAUAACUGCAUUUCUGCAUUAUUAUAAUUGUGUUUCUGCAUUAGUAAAACNNNNNNNNNNNNNNNNNNNNUAGAAUUGCAUUUUUGCAUUACUAAAACUGUCUUACUGCAUUUUUAGCACAUUAAUAUGAAAUUACUGUGCACUAGCACAAUCACCAGCAUGUUAAAACAUAGGUUUUUGAGCAUCCUCAAUAUGUUAAACACUAGGUGAAGUACAUAAGUAUGUUCCUUAGCGUGUUAAUGCAUUUUUAAUGUUUUUGUUAAUUUCUCAUAUUUCCAUUAGAUUAUAACACUUAAUUCGUGAGCAUAAUUUAUUAAAAUAUUUACCACACUUUUGAUACCCUCUUUUAACAACUUAAUAACACACUGUUACAUACACAAAUCACAAUUACCUUUUGUCAUAUUAGUCAAUUGUUGAACGCGUAGAUAUCAUGCUUAUAGGUUAAAAACAUAAAAAAUAAAUAGCUAUUUUUUGUCUUUGCAUGUUAAUCACAUUAAUCAACUCUUGAAUAACCAAGGGGCUAAUGUGAGACAUUACUUGCUACUUGACGUUCAGUGUGUUACGAGUUUUGAUUCCUAAGCAACAUAAUUUUAUUUUGUCUAGGCCACAAAUCUAAAAUAGCAAAGUCCAAUGUCUCUUGGACGAUAAGCGGGACGAUAGAAAUUACUAAAGACGCUAGUUUUAUCCUUGUCUUAGAACGCCUUUAGAGUUAACAACCAGCCUAGGUAGGGUAGCACGAGUAGCCAUUCGAAAGUGAUGAUCUCCAAUCGCAUUAAAAGUAAGACAUAUGGCUUGUCUAAGAAUUCGGCCAGUGGGUUGAAUGAUGAUUAAACAAGUUGGGGUUUUGAUCCGAACGAGACCAAAAAUAUUUCUUUGUUUGCUUUGACGAAGUCUUUUUAUUUUUUUAUUUACUUUGACGAAGUUUUUUUAUUUUUUUAUUUACUUUACAUGCUUAUUUAUUUGGGAUAGUUAGUUUGUUACAUAAGCAGUCCCCUUUUGUUAUAAACUAUGUCAUUUCUUUCUCCUCGCUUAUUUUAUUAUGUAUUUUUAUCACUUAGAUAAUCAACAAUUAGAAAUAACAAAAAUAACAUGUAUUUGUUUAUUCGUUACUUUAUCGCGUAGUCAACAUUUAAGUUAAUAAAUAAGCGACCUUUAUUUGAUCACAUAGAAUCCCCACGUAAAGUAUGAAUUCGGUCGGGAACCACCUUUGUGGACCUCAAAAGGUGCCUAACACCUUUCUUUUGAGGUAAUUUGAACCCUUACCCGAACUCUGAUGAACUAAGAUAAAACAACAAAAUAGGUUCGUAGUUGGCCUAGACCAGUGCCCUAACGCACCUUAAUUCAUUAGGUGGAGACUCUUCACACUCAUCCUCAAACAAUCCAAAAAGAGUGGUCACGUCGAAUCCCAUUUUUUGCGGGAAAAUGAGGUGCGGCAGAAUGGCGACUCUGCUGGGGAGCUUAGGUUCUAACCAUUAUGAGUUUGUGUUUUAUGUGGGAUUCUUUCACUUUUUUUAUUUUUCGUAAUUAAUUUCUCUCUUUUUCUUUUAUCGCUUAUAUCAUGAUUCAUUUUUACAUGUUAAUCCCUUCUCCUUCUCCUUCCCCUUUUAUGUGUUAUUUAUAUAUCUCUAUGUCUACUUUACUUUUAUUGGAUAUGUGUUUUAAUGUUUAUUUUUAGAUUGCUAAAGCAUGCUAUUGUAUGUUGCUAUGUGCUACGUGUUACUACUUUAUGUAACUGUCAUUUCGCUCAUACUUUCCUCCACUUAAAACCUUCUUUAUUUUCUUUUACGAAUGGUUAUGUGAUUGCACGGACAUUCUUUCCUAAAACAUCCUGCGGGAAAUGCCUUGUGGAUCGAUUGAUCAGUGGUACGUCGACAGUCACAAGCUUUCCCACUCUCGAGUCGUCUAUUCGAGGGAACCAUGUCAUAAACACACUCUUGUCCUUUAGGUCCUAGCUACAUAUUUCUUUUAUUAAGGAAUAUGUGUCUCAUUCAACGUGGGAUGUCUUGGCAUCCUUGACGCGUUGAAUGUUAGUCUCAUUCAAAAUUCAAAGAGGUUCACGACCUCAAAUAGACUCAUAAUUAUUUGUUAUGUAUUGCAUUUCUAUGUAUAUAUUGGCAUAUUGCCUAUCUUGUUGUUUCCGUUCUUGCUUUAGUCACUCCUUACUUUGGGUUCUUGUAGAACCUUAUCUAUAAUAUUGAGUUUCUGUAGAACUUUAUCCACAAUAUUGGGUUCUUGUAGGACCUUAAUAAAUAAUCUUGGGUUCUUGUAGAACCUUAAUUGAAUAAUAUGAGGUUUCUGUAGAACCUCCAACAAUAUUGGAUUUCUACAGAACCUUAUCCACAAUAUUGGGUUUCUGUAGAACCUUAAUAAACAAUCUUGGGUUCCUAUAGAACCUUAUCCAUAAUAUCAGGUUCCUGUAGAACCUUAAUCAACAAUAUCAGGUUCCUGUAGAACCUUAAUCAACAAUAGCGGGUUCCUGUAGAACCUUAAUCAACAAUGUUGGGUCCUUGAAACCUUACAUUUUUUCAUGUCCUAACUCGUAUUCAACAAGACGACGACAUCAAUCGAGGCAGAGACACAAAUCGACCUUCCUUUCUUACAAACUCACAAUUUUUCUUUGAGUGCAGGAUUAACAGGUACAGAUGACAGGAAUCAUUCCAUCACGAGAGGCCCAACGGCCAAUCCAAUAUCACAUCAAGAAUCCCAAUGGUUGAUCUAAUAAUACAACAGAUACACUUUCUUAUCUCUUCUUAUCAUUAUUGCGGUUGUUUUCACUAAUUGUCUCUUCGAAAUAUGCAUCUGUGCUAACCAUUUUUAUCCAGUUGAGCUAAAAGUGGUAGGAUUGAUAAGUAUAGAUAAUAGGAAUUACCCCAUCAUGAGAGGCCUAAUAACCAAUCCAACGCUAUAUCGAGAAGCCCAACAGCUGAUCCAACGCUACAUCGAGAGGCCCAACAGUUGAUCCAACAUUAUAUCGAGAAGCACAAUAGCUGAUCCAACGCUACAUCAAGAGGCCUAAAAGUCAAUCCAAUGUCACAUUGAGAAGCCCAACAACUGAUUCAAUGCUACAUCAGAGGCCCAACAGCCGAUCCAAUGUCAUAUCGAGAAACCCAACAGCUGAUCCAAUGCUACAUUGAGAGGCCCAACAGCUGAUCCAGCAUCAUAUCGAGAAGUCAAACGCUGAUCCAACAUUACAUCGAGAGGCCCAAUAGCCAAUCCAACGUUAUAUCAAGAAGCCCAAGAACUGAUCCAACAUCAUAUCGAGCAACUCAACAGUUGAUCCAACAAUACAACAGAUACAUUUUCUUUACUUCUUACAUUCACUUUAUGUUUAUCAAAUGCUUAUUAUUUACAUGCUUUAACCCUGGUUAUUGAGUAUACUGUGAAAUACGCAGGUGACGGAGAAGGAGUAACAAACAGAAAUAAUUUUCGUUCUUAUUUUCGAAAUAUCACCCCAUUUAUUCAUCCAUCGCGUGAACUCAUCCUGAUACUCACCUACCUUAACAUAUUUAAACUUCUCCAUACGUCAUUAUUCCAAUUCAUUACGGUCUCACUGACCCACGAUACCAUUGUUGACGCCCCAACCUUUAUCAAUAACAUUUUUUAGGAAUAUUAUUCAUUCCUAAAUCUAGAACUACACAAGGCCUGAUUCUUAUAAAAUCAGAGAAAUGUAGGCGACUUCAGACAAAAGUCUCCGCCAUACCAUUUUUUAACCACCUCUUGGUUCUUUAAUUCCAAUGAAUCUUUCUCGAUUGGACAAAAUUGGCUACUACGUUGACUUUCGUUGCUUGACAAUUAUUUCAUCAUUCUCAAGCAACGAAGAGGCAGCUGUUGACACCCAAUUUUUGACCGUCCAAUACUCAUUUUAGGCUGCUAUUUUGGCAAAAUAAUUAAUUUUAAAUGUUAGUUUUUUUUACACAUUUUUCUUGUAUCAAACAGAUAUUGACGUGUCACAUUCAUAAUUUAGAAAAAUGCACAAAUUAUUAUCUUUUAAUAUCAUUUUUAUCAUAUUAAUUCAAAUACGACAUUUUUACUUAAUUUUAUUAAAAUUUAUUAUUUUGUACGUAAAUGUGCACACUCUCAAUUUGCAAACACAUUAUUUAUUAUUGUUAUUAUAUAUUAUGUAUUAUUAUUAUUAUUAUUUAUUAUUAUUAUUAUUAUUUAUUGCUUAUUAUUUAUUAUUUAUUAUAUAUUAUUUACUAUUAUUAUUAUUAUCCCAACUACUAUUUAAAUAACAGCCCAAAUUGAAAUCACUUUGCCUAAUUUAUUUAUCUUUUAGCUCAAUUUUUAUCCAAAUUAUUAUAAUUCUAGCCAAUUUAUUACAAUUAUGGCCCAUUCUUGACUCAAUUUAAAAAUUCUCAACCUUUGAAUCUCAGCCAUCGAUCAAAAUUGAUCCAAUGGCUGAGAUCAAAAGGACCAUUCUUUUCUUUUAAAGACAAAGGAAGCCCUAACCCUAGCCACUUCCAAAUCAACCGCACCCUCCCUUUCUUCUCUCCCCUCACUCUAACCUCUCACCCUUCCUCUCUCUAAAUGGCGUCGCCGUCGCCGGUGGACGGCUGCUGCCGCCGCUCCACUACUCUCUCUACCCUUUCUCCACUCUUCUCUCUCCACCAGCAGCCAUGGCUGCCACCGCCGGAGCAGCCACCGCCCUUCUCUUUCACUUGCUUACCCUCUGCUGGUAAAACCUGUGCCACCACUGGCUUUCUCUCUCCAAGUUCCACCUCCAUGAACCCCGGCAAAACUACGCUGGCGAAACCCCUUCGCCGCCAUCGCUAGGCUCGCCGGUCAGCGACCAGCCACUCCAUUCUCCGCAUCUCCACCACUCCGACCAGCAAUUAAGUUGUCCCGUCGCCUCUGUGCAACAGCUAAACCCCCAUAGCACCGCUUCCCUCAUGCUCCAGCAACACUGCCCUCUCCUCUCACCCGUUACGUCCUCAUCAGAGUUGAUGACCGACGAGGUUUUGAUGAACAACGAGGCUCUGGUGAACUUAUCUGCUAUUAUUGUCUGGUUUGAUUUUCUUUAAUAUAUUAAGUUGCAUGUUUUUUUACUUUGUUAGAUGAAUCCGUUUUCUAGAUUAAAACUUUUGUGAUGUUUGAUUUUAAACUUCGAUUUAAUUCCUUUAUUUACGUAUUCAUAAUCAUAUAUGUGGAAUGCGUCGAUUUGUCCUUAAAACCGCUAUUAGGUUGUUAAUUAUUUCAAGUUUUCGAUAUUGUUGUUCCCUAAUUUGGUUAACAUCGAUGAAAUGUGACUCAUAUAACUAGGUGCCUAUGGCAAAAAUGUGUGAUUGUGUGUUUUUCUCUUAAAUGAUAGUUUAUGGGACUGAUUUCGUACGUAAUUUUAAUGAUUUGGAUUUAAUUUUUUUGUGCAUAAUUAAAUUGUUGUGGUUAAGGCAUAUUUGUAUAAUUAUUUCUUUUAUUUUUAUUUAGUUACUGCUGCUCAUACCCAUAUGAUGUCUAUUACCUUUUAAUAUAUUUUAGUUUCUUUUUACUUGCUUAUUUAUAGAAAAUCCAUAUGUCAUUCCAAUCUAUUCUAUGUUUGACAGAUUCUCCCUUUGUUAUUUAUGGCAAACUUUUAAUCCACUCUCAAUCUAAG
RNAcentral lists this long non-coding RNA (8280 nucleotides) under Capsicum annuum. Its description in RNAcentral is "long non-coding RNA (CANN_LNC005328)". Lineage: Eukaryota; Viridiplantae; Streptophyta; Magnoliopsida; Solanales; Solanaceae. The record is from RNAcentral.